This 239-nucleotide ribosomal RNA is filed under the name uncultured Alcaligenaceae bacterium. RNAcentral describes it as "partial 16S ribosomal RNA". It matches the Rfam family "Bacterial small subunit ribosomal RNA", at positions 1147 to 1382 of the family's 1533-position model. The record is from RNAcentral. Lineage: Bacteria; Pseudomonadati; Pseudomonadota; Betaproteobacteria; Burkholderiales; Alcaligenaceae.
GACUGCCGGUGGACAAACCGGAAGGGAAGUGGGGAUGACGUCAAGUCCUCAUGGCCCUUAUGGGUAGGGCUUCACACGUCAUACAAUGGUCGGGACAGAGGGUCGCCAACCCGCGAGGGGGAGCCAAUCCCAGAAACCCGAUCGUAGUCCGGAUUGUAGUCUGCAACUCGACUACAUGAAGUCGGAAUCGCUAGUAAUCGCGGAUCAGCAUGUCGCGGUGAAUACGUUCCCGGGUCCUU